GUUUCGUGUUGCUGUAGCUGCCAGUCCGGCCAUACAGCGUUGGUGCAUGGACGCCUCGCAGCUGGAGCCAUACUGUCCAGUGAAGAGGCUGUGCUGCUAGAUUUAAACAGAGUUUGAAGCUAUUGCUGUGAUAUAUCUUCUAUUUUCUGGCCUGAAAGACAUUCAGGGAAAGAGGAAGAGAUGGCAGUUUCUUGGGGCUCAGUGACCUAUGAAGAUGUAACUGUGAUAUUCACUCAAGAGGAGUGGGGACUAUUAAAUUCUUCAGAGAAGAAACUCUACAGAGAUGUGAUGUGUGAAAAUUUGAGGAACUUUCUUUCAAUAGGUAACUCUAAUCACCUUAAUUUUUCAACUAGAAGAGAAAUCAUUUUUUGUUCACCAUUGUAGAAAUGGCUAUACUGUUCAGUGAGCAAGGUUUUAUUUAUUUAUUUUUUAAUAUAUUUAUUUUAUUUAUUCCCUUUUGUUGCCCUUGUUGUUUUAUUGUUGUAGUUAUUAUUUUUGUUGUCGUUGUUGCAUAGGACAGCGAGAAAUGGAGAGAGGAGGAGAGAAAGAUAGACACCUACAGACCUGCUUCACCGCCUGUGAAGCGACUCCCCUGCAGGUCGGGAGCCAGGGUUCGAACUGGGAUCCUUAUGCCGGUCCUUGUUCUUUGCACCACCUGCGCUUAGCCCCGCUGCACUACAGCCUGACUCCCGAGCAAGGUUUUAUUGUGACUCAUGAGGGAAUUCAAUCUAUUUGUAUAAUUUCUAAUACUUUUUAUAUUUUGUAAUUUUAGAAAAGAUACAAGAACAUUCCACCAAAGGGCAGCAUAUCUUGCAUGGCAAUAAACAAA
Erinaceus europaeus (western European hedgehog) is the source of this 829-nucleotide long non-coding RNA. RefSeq lists it as uncharacterized. The record is from RefSeq and is a predicted model, not a curated record. The transcript is spliced from 3 exons. NCBI's taxonomy places the organism in Eukaryota, Metazoa, Chordata, Mammalia, Eulipotyphla, Erinaceidae.